RNAcentral lists this long non-coding RNA (241 nucleotides) under Gadus morhua (Atlantic cod). RNAcentral describes it as "lncRNA (ENSGMOG00000033840.1)". The record is from RNAcentral. Lineage: Eukaryota; Metazoa; Chordata; Actinopteri; Gadiformes; Gadidae.
GACCUCAUCAUUGCGGAAAACUCAGAGAGCUCUUUGAUCGGCCCGAGGGCAAUCGUUGCAGAGCCUUACGCGAGUGGAGAGAUCGCCUGUGAAGAGAUUGAUUUACGAUGAAGACGUGCUAACAUAACAGAUCAGGACUGCGAGCUCAGAGAACGGAUUCAGCAGGUUCAACAGGUAAGCAGGUCACACCUCCAAAUGCAUGACAUAUAUUUUAUUUGAAUGUUUUGCAAAUUAAGAAAUU